RNAcentral lists this ribosomal RNA (2904 nucleotides) under Escherichia coli. Its description in RNAcentral is "23S ribosomal RNA". It matches the Rfam family "Bacterial large subunit ribosomal RNA". Lineage: Bacteria; Pseudomonadati; Pseudomonadota; Gammaproteobacteria; Enterobacterales; Enterobacteriaceae. The record is from RNAcentral.
GGUUAAGCGACUAAGCGUACACGGUGGAUGCCCUGGCAGUCAGAGGCGAUGAAGGACGUGCUAAUCUGCGAUAAGCGUCGGUAAGGUGAUAUGAACCGUUAUAACCGGCGAUUUCCGAAUGGGGAAACCCAGUGUGUUUCGACACACUAUCAUUAACUGAAUCCAUAGGUUAAUGAGGCGAACCGGGGGAACUGAAACAUCUAAGUACCCCGAGGAAAAGAAAUCAACCGAGAUUCCCCCAGUAGCGGCGAGCGAACGGGGAGCAGCCCAGAGCCUGAAUCAGUGUGUGUGUUAGUGGAAGCGUCUGGAAAGGCGCGCGAUACAGGGUGACAGCCCCGUACACAAAAAUGCACAUGCUGUGAGCUCGAUGAGUAGGGCGGGACACGUGGUAUCCUGUCUGAAUAUGGGGGGACCAUCCUCCAAGGCUAAAUACUCCUGACUGACCGAUAGUGAACCAGUACCGUGAGGGAAAGGCGAAAAGAACCCCGGCGAGGGGAGUGAAAAAGAACCUGAAACCGUGUACGUACAAGCAGUGGGAGCACGCUUAGGCGUGUGACUGCGUACCUUUUGUAUAAUGGGUCAGCGACUUAUAUUCUGUAGCAAGGUUAACCGAAUAGGGGAGCCGAAGGGAAACCGAGUCUUAACUGGGCGUUAAGUUGCAGGGUAUAGACCCGAAACCCGGUGAUCUAGCCAUGGGCAGGUUGAAGGUUGGGUAACACUAACUGGAGGACCGAACCGACUAAUGUUGAAAAAUUAGCGGAUGACUUGUGGCUGGGGGUGAAAGGCCAAUCAAACCGGGAGAUAGCUGGUUCUCCCCGAAAGCUAUUUAGGUAGCGCCUCGUGAAUUCAUCUCCGGGGGUAGAGCACUGUUUCGGCAAGGGGGUCAUCCCGACUUACCAACCCGAUGCAAACUGCGAAUACCGGAGAAUGUUAUCACGGGAGACACACGGCGGGUGCUAACGUCCGUCGUGAAGAGGGAAACAACCCAGACCGCCAGCUAAGGUCCCAAAGUCAUGGUUAAGUGGGAAACGAUGUGGGAAGGCCCAGACAGCCAGGAUGUUGGCUUAGAAGCAGCCAUCAUUUAAAGAAAGCGUAAUAGCUCACUGGUCGAGUCGGCCUGCGCGGAAGAUGUAACGGGGCUAAACCAUGCACCGAAGCUGCGGCAGCGACGCUUAUGCGUUGUUGGGUAGGGGAGCGUUCUGUAAGCCUGCGAAGGUGUGCUGUGAGGCAUGCUGGAGGUAUCAGAAGUGCGAAUGCUGACAUAAGUAACGAUAAAGCGGGUGAAAAGCCCGCUCGCCGGAAGACCAAGGGUUCCUGUCCAACGUUAAUCGGGGCAGGGUGAGUCGACCCCUAAGGCGAGGCCGAAAGGCGUAGUCGAUGGGAAACAGGUUAAUAUUCCUGUACUUGGUGUUACUGCGAAGGGGGGACGGAGAAGGCUAUGUUGGCCGGGCGACGGUUGUCCCGGUUUAAGCGUGUAGGCUGGUUUUCCAGGCAAAUCCGGAAAAUCAAGGCUGAGGCGUGAUGACGAGGCACUACGGUGCUGAAGCAACAAAUGCCCUGCUUCCAGGAAAAGCCUCUAAGCAUCAGGUAACAUCAAAUCGUACCCCAAACCGACACAGGUGGUCAGGUAGAGAAUACCAAGGCGCUUGAGAGAACUCGGGUGAAGGAACUAGGCAAAAUGGUGCCGUAACUUCGGGAGAAGGCACGCUGAUAUGUAGGUGAAGCGACUUGCUCGUGGAGCUGAAAUCAGUCGAAGAUACCAGCUGGCUGCAACUGUUUAUUAAAAACACAGCACUGUGCAAACACGAAAGUGGACGUAUACGGUGUGACGCCUGCCCGGUGCCGGAAGGUUAAUUGAUGGGGUCAGCGCAAGCGAAGCUCUUGAUCGAAGCCCCGGUAAACGGCGGCCGUAACUAUAACGGUCCUAAGGUAGCGAAAUUCCUUGUCGGGUAAGUUCCGACCUGCACGAAUGGCGUAAUGAUGGCCAGGCUGUCUCCACCCGAGACUCAGUGAAAUUGAACUCGCUGUGAAGAUGCAGUGUACCCGCGGCAAGACGGAAAGACCCCGUGAACCUUUACUAUAGCUUGACACUGAACAUUGAGCCUUGAUGUGUAGGAUAGGUGGGAGGCUUUGAAGUGUGGACGCCAGUCUGCAUGGAGCCGACCUUGAAAUACCACCCUUUAAUGUUUGAUGUUCUAACGUUGACCCGUAAUCCGGGUUGCGGACAGUGUCUGGUGGGUAGUUUGACUGGGGCGGUCUCCUCCUAAAGAGUAACGGAGGAGCACGAAGGUUGGCUAAUCCUGGUCGGACAUCAGGAGGUUAGUGCAAUGGCAUAAGCCAGCUUGACUGCGAGCGUGACGGCGCGAGCAGGUGCGAAAGCAGGUCAUAGUGAUCCGGUGGUUCUGAAUGGAAGGGCCAUCGCUCAACGGAUAAAAGGUACUCCGGGGAUAACAGGCUGAUACCGCCCAAGAGUUCAUAUCGACGGCGGUGUUUGGCACCUCGAUGUCGGCUCAUCACAUCCUGGGGCUGAAGUAGGUCCCAAGGGUAUGGCUGUUCGCCAUUUAAAGUGGUACGCGAGCUGGGUUUAGAACGUCGUGAGACAGUUCGGUCCCUAUCUGCCGUGGGCGCUGGAGAAUUGAGGGGGGCUGCUCCUAGUACGAGAGGACCGGAGUGGACGCAUCACUGGUGUUCGGGUUGUCAUGCCAAUGGCACUGCCCGGUAGCUAAAUGCGGAAGAGAUAAGUGCUGAAAGCAUCUAAGCACGAAACUUGCCCCGAGAUGAGUUCUCCCUGACUCCUUGAGAGUCCUGAAGGAACGUUGAAGACGACGACGUUGAUAGGCCGGGUGUGUAAGCGCAGCGAUGCGUUGAGCUAACCGGUACUAAUGAACCGUGAGGCUUAACCUU